AACGCACAUUGCACCCCUUGGUAUUCCGAGGGGUAUGCCUGUUCGAGCGUCAUUAUGACCACUCCAGCCUGGCUGGGUAUUGGGCUUCGCCGUUCGGCGGGCUUUAAAAGCAGUGGCGGUGCUCUUAGGCUCUACGCGUAGUAACUUUUCUCACUAUAGAGUUCUGGGACGCAUUAGCCAUCAACCUCAACUUCUCAAGGUUGACCUCGGAUCAGGUAGGAAUACCCGCUGAACUUAA
RNAcentral lists this unclassified non-coding RNA (238 nucleotides) under uncultured fungus. Its description in RNAcentral is "partial contains 5.8S ribosomal RNA, internal transcribed spacer 2, and large subunit ribosomal RNA". The record is from RNAcentral. Lineage: Eukaryota; Fungi.